GGACGCGGCGCCGAGCGGAAUUCCUACCGGGGCCGCCAGGAGACCUCCAAAACCUUCGCAGAUUGCAGAUUGAGCUUAACCAAGAAGCUCGUGGGCUGAUCCACGCUGACCUGCCUGACCACGGAAGAGGUUCUGUCGGCCUGGCUGGGCCCCUCUUGGCUUCACUUGUUGCCUGGG
This 177-nucleotide long non-coding RNA is filed under the name Bos mutus (wild yak). Its description in RNAcentral is "lncRNA (ENSBMUG00000020615.1)". The record is from RNAcentral. Lineage: Eukaryota; Metazoa; Chordata; Mammalia; Artiodactyla; Bovidae.